RNAcentral lists this small RNA (83 nucleotides) under Bordetella genomosp. 9. Its description in RNAcentral is "Proteo-phage-1 RNA". It matches the Rfam family "Proteo-phage-1 RNA". Lineage: Bacteria; Pseudomonadati; Pseudomonadota; Betaproteobacteria; Burkholderiales; Alcaligenaceae. The record is from Rfam by way of RNAcentral.
CGCGUGCCAGCCGCGACGGGAAACCGGGUAGCUGGAUGGGGAUUAGUCGGUGAGUGCCCCAGCAUGGAGAAACCCCGACAGGC